UACGUAGGAGACGAGCGUUGUCCGGAAUUACUGGGCGUAAAGCGCGUGUAGGCGGAUGAGCAAGUCUGCUGUGAAAGCUCCUGGCUUAACCGGGAGUGGUCGGUGGAAACUGCUCGUCUGGAGGACGGUAGAGGUAGGUAGAAUUCCCGGUGCAGUGGUGAAAUGCGUAGAGAUCGGGAGGAAUACCUGUGGCGAAGGCGGCCUACUGGGCCGGACCUGACGCUGAGACGCGAAGGCGUGGGGAGCGAACGGG
Molecule: ribosomal RNA, 253 nt
Filed under: uncultured bacterium
Lineage: Bacteria
Description: partial 16S ribosomal RNA
Rfam family: Bacterial small subunit ribosomal RNA
Source: RNAcentral